RNAcentral lists this ribosomal RNA (231 nucleotides) under Astronia cumingiana var. bicolor. Its description in RNAcentral is "partial 26S ribosomal RNA". The stretch from base 35 to 231 matches the Rfam family "Eukaryotic large subunit ribosomal RNA", at positions 1 to 197 of the family's 3401-position model. The record is from RNAcentral. Lineage: Eukaryota; Viridiplantae; Streptophyta; Magnoliopsida; Myrtales; Melastomataceae.
GCUGCGGGCUCCGGACUUUGACAAUCCCCGAGUGCGAUCCCAGGUCAGGCGGGGCUACCCGCUGAGUUUAAGCAUAUCAAUAAGCGGAGGAAAAGAAACUAACGAGGAUUCCCUUAGUAGCGGCGAGCGAAUCGGGAAGAGCCCAGCAUGAAAAUCGUCCGUCAUCGGCGGCCGAAUUGUAGUCUGGAGAAGCGUCCUCAGUGACGGACCGGACCCAAGUUCACUGGAAGG